CGUAGGGUGCGAGCGUUAAUCGGAAUUACUGGGCGUAAAGCGUGCGCAGGCGGUUUGUUAAGAUAGGCGUGAAAUCCCCGGGCUCAACCUGGGAACUGCGCUUAUGACUGGCAAGCUAGAGUACGGCAGAGGGGGUGGAAUUCCACGUGUAGCAGUGAAAUGCGUAGAGAUGUGGAGGAACACCAAUGGCGAAGGCAGCCCCCUGGGUCGAUACUGACGCUCAUGCACGAAAGCGUGGGUAGCAAACAGGAUUAGAUACCCUGGUAGUCCACGCCCUAAACGAUGUCAACUAGGUGUUGGAUGGGUAAAACCAUUUAGUACCGGAGCUAACGCGUGAAGUUGACCGCCUGGGGAGUACGGCCGCAAGGUUA
RNAcentral lists this ribosomal RNA (371 nucleotides) under uncultured organism. RNAcentral's name for it is "bacterial SSU rRNA". It matches the Rfam family "Bacterial small subunit ribosomal RNA", at positions 526 to 896 of the family's 1533-position model. The record is from RNAcentral.